This 426-nucleotide ribosomal RNA is filed under the name uncultured Comamonadaceae bacterium. Its description in RNAcentral is "bacterial SSU rRNA". It matches the Rfam family "Bacterial small subunit ribosomal RNA", at positions 356 to 774 of the family's 1533-position model. Lineage: Bacteria; Pseudomonadati; Pseudomonadota; Betaproteobacteria; Burkholderiales; Comamonadaceae. The record is from RNAcentral.
GGGGAAUUUUGGACAAUGGGCGCAAGCCUGAUCCAGCAAUGCCGCGUGCAGGAUGAAGGCCUUCGGGUUGUAAACUGCUUUUGUACGGAACGAAAAGCCUCUCUCUAAUACAGGGGGGUGAUGACGGUACCGUAAGAAUAAGCACCGGCUAACUACGUGCCAGCAGCCGCGGUAAUACGUAGGGUGCAAGCGUUAAUCGGAAUUACUGGGCGUAAAGCGUGCGCAGGCGGUUUUGUAAGACAGUGGUGAAAUCCCCGGGCUAACCUGGGGCAAUGCCAUGUGGACGGAAGGGCGGGGGUGGGGGAGAGGGGGAGGGAAUUCCGCGUGUAGGAGGAAAAUGCGUUGAUAUGCGGAGGAACACCGAUGGCAAAGGCAAUCCCCUGGGCCUGCACGGACGCUCAUGCACGAAGGCGUGGGGAGCAAACA